GACGAACGCUGGCGGCGUGCCUAAUACAUGCAAGUCGAACGCACUCUCGUUUAGAUUGAAGGAGCUUGCUCCUGAUUGAUAAGCAUUUGAGUGAGUGGCGGACGGGUGAGUAACACGUGGGUAACCUGCCCUAAAGUGGGGGAUAACAUUUGGAAACAGAUGCUAAUACCGCAUAAAACCUAGCACCGCAUGGUGCAGGGUUGAAAGAUGGUUUCGGCUAUCACUUUAGGAUGGACCCGCGGUGCAUUAGUUAGUUGGUGAGGUAAAGGCUCACCAAGACCGUGAUGCAUAGCCGACCUGAGAGGGUAAUCGGGCCACACUGGGACUGAGACACGGCCCAGACUCCUACGGGAGGCAGCAGUAGGGAAUCUUCCACAAUGGACGAAAGUCUGAUGGAGC
RNAcentral lists this ribosomal RNA (399 nucleotides) under uncultured bacterium. RNAcentral's name for it is "bacterial SSU rRNA". It matches the Rfam family "Bacterial small subunit ribosomal RNA", at positions 28 to 392 of the family's 1533-position model. The record is from RNAcentral.